This 439-nucleotide ribosomal RNA is filed under the name uncultured bacterium. RNAcentral's name for it is "partial 16S ribosomal RNA". It matches the Rfam family "Bacterial small subunit ribosomal RNA", at positions 338 to 795 of the family's 1533-position model. The record is from RNAcentral.
CCUAGGGAUGCAGCAGUGGGGAAUAUUGCACAAUGGAGGGAACUCUGAUGCAGCAACGCCGCGUGGAGGAUGACACAUUUCGGUGCGUAAACUCCUUUUAUAUAAGAAGAUAAUGACGGUAUUAUAUGAAUAAGCACCGGCUAACUCCGUGCCAGCAGCCGCGGUAAUACGGGGGGUGCAAGCGUUACUCGGAAUCACUGGGCGUAAAGAGCAUGUAGGCUGGUUUGUAAGUUGGAAGUGAAAUCCUAUGGCUUAACCAUAGAACUGCUUCCAAAACUACUUACCUAGAGUAUGGGAGAGGUAGAUGGAAUUUCUGGUGUAGGGGUAAAAUCCGUAGAGAUCAGAAGGAAUACCGAUUGCGAAGGCGAUCUACUGGAACAUUACUGACGCUCAGAUGCGAAAGCGUGGGGAGCAAACAGGAUUAGAUACCCCCGUAGUC